CCAAUCCAGAGGAAGACCUUCUAAAAGAGGUGAUGGAUGGGAGAGUGCUGACAUACUAUGUGAAGCUACUAUUUGGAGUUGGACACGAGUGCAUGUGACCUUGUGCCACAGCGGCAAUCUUGACUACCACACAAAUGAAUCCAUUCAAAUGUUGGCAAGUGGAGCAGAGUCCCAGGACAGAGUUACUAUGAAUUAUUAUAUUGUGGCUACUUACACCAAGAUGAAGAUAAUUAGUUCAGGAAGAAUCUGCAUUCUGAAGACAAAUAGAAGUUCCAGCUACAGAUGGGCAGACGCAUGCCCUCUCAAUUCCUGAUGGACCUCCUAAUGCCUCCUGGACCUAAGGGGCCUCCCUCAAUGUUCCAAGAUGCCACCAAGGCAGGGAUCAGCUCGUGCAUUCCUGAGAACAUCCAGGAUGAAGUGAGGCUCUGGAAAAAUGCAAGAGUUUCCACAUAAUCCCAAAAAACCCUACAGGUGAACUGGAUGCCACAGAAAGAGGAGUGGUCUUUGUUACAAUGAAAUCAACAAAAUUAUUUCGAAGUCAAUUAGGAAACUCAGAAAUCACUCUUGCUACCAUUAAGAGGAAGAACAGGAGCCUGUGAAUGGCGUCCCUGGCCUACCUGAGACUCCACAGAUAUUUCUAUGUGGCUUCAGACAGCAGAAAUCUCUGUGAUUUACAGAAAGGCAGGGACAGCUCAUGCCAGCCCAUCCCUCUGCAGAAUGUCUCCCAGCAGAUCAGUGGCAU
RNAcentral lists this long non-coding RNA (742 nucleotides) under Pan troglodytes (chimpanzee). RNAcentral's name for it is "long non-coding RNA NONPTRT016953". The record is from RNAcentral. Lineage: Eukaryota; Metazoa; Chordata; Mammalia; Primates; Hominidae.